GAAAGUUUGUUGGGGUUUUUCUGUCACAUUUAACAGAAAAGCCCAAAUGAACUUUUUGG
MicroRNA precursor from Bos indicus x Bos taurus (hybrid cattle), 59 nucleotides. NCBI's taxonomy places the organism in Eukaryota, Metazoa, Chordata, Mammalia, Artiodactyla, Bovidae. The record is from Ensembl.